GGGGAGAAACGGCGCAGCUGGGACUCUGUGCUGUGGCAGCCUAAGCGAACCUCUUCACGGGCUAAUGACAAUUGCAGGCAUUGUUGGGCUGUGUCCUAAGGUGAAUCAACAUAAAGAAAAGCCCUGGCUGCUCGUGCACUGAUAACUUCAUCUUUUCGGACAUCUGGGAACUACCGCCACAAUGUCUGGAAAAAAAAUGACUUCAAACUAAUGCAGCAGAGGCAAACCAUGGUUUGGCCAAAAAUGGAACAGAAUUUACAAGGGAAAAGGGAAGUUCCUGGAGUAAUAUGGUCAGAUGAGGAUGGAACUGGUGAAUGAGCAGAAGAGAAGGUUGGAAGAGUGCAGUGGUGAUGACAGCCCUCCGCUGCUCCUUCCCCAGAGGAAGGAGCUCCAAGUUUAUUCACCCCUCUUUUACCAUGAGGCAGAGGGAAAACAAUGACAAAUACACAGUAAACUUCGUUAUCAACAAACAGAAGUUGUUACCAAGGCAACAGAACAAGAGCAUCCCUGCAUCCAGCCAUCACAGUGUGAAGUGAGUUUCAGAUGAGGAGAUGCCUUGAGGGGCAAGGAGACCCUUCAGGAAAAAGCUGACCUGAUAAAGGAAUCAAGGAGCUGCCAUCCCAACUGAUGUCUUUUUUCCCUUUCUCAAUAAAGAGAAGAGCUUGCAAGAGCCCUGAAAGACAGACAGGCUGCGUAAACUACUUGGGAUUUCAAAGAGUCCUGUUCAAUUAAUCUGACUACAGAUAGACCAGAACGGUUCUACUUCUGGGUAUAGGCAGAGGUGAGACUUUGGGGUGAACAGAUACAAGGAAAGGGGACAGGGCAUUAAACACCUCUGAACUGCUGUGUACACUAUAAAUAGAAAUGAGAUCCUGUAUUUAUACAAUGCCUUUUGUCCAGAAACCUGCACUCACAGCACAGACAUCACCUGCCUAGGCUUCCAAACACCCCUGUGAGUUGAGGAUCAAGGACAGGGAUUAUUUUACAGAUGGGAAAACUGGCACUUAGAAGCAGUAUAUGUGCCAAGGCCCUUCAGAAGACAGCAGAACAGCCAGAAACAGGAUGCAGGUAAAAAUACCAACAAUAAAUUCUUUUUAUUUGUUCUUAACAUCUUCCCUGCUGGAUCAAGAUCUUUUUCACAAAAUGACAUUAAAGAGUCAAAGUCUUCCUUUCUCCUCAACAACAGGGAGCUUGCAUAAUCUGAAUGUGCUUGUUGCAGCCCCUGACACUAUGGAUGGAGGGGGAUCAAGGGUGGGCUUGUGGAUUACACUUAUCAAAUUGAAACACUCUAGGGAAGCAUUGUAGCUGCUCUUGAAUUCACCUUCUUGGUUUAAUGGAAGUACUUUUAGGAGAUUUAUUUUGAUACCUCUCAACCAUGUGGAUUCUUAAUCUGGGGACCUCAAUCAAUCAAACGAAUGUUUAUUGAUUGACUACCAUGUUCAGAUCUAGUGCUAUGAAAGAAUAAUAAAUAUUACCUAUGGUACUCACCUGAUAAAA
RNAcentral lists this long non-coding RNA (1497 nucleotides) under Homo sapiens (human). RNAcentral describes it as "HSALNT0296710". The record is from RNAcentral. Lineage: Eukaryota; Metazoa; Chordata; Mammalia; Primates; Hominidae.